CUUGACGACCAUAGAGCAUUGGAACCACCUGACUCCCAUCCCGAACUCAGCAGUGAAACGAUGCAUCGCCGAUGGUAGUGUGGGGCUUCCCCAUGUUGAGAGUAGGUCAUCGUCAAGA
Molecule: ribosomal RNA, 118 nt
Filed under: Pseudomonas putida S11
Lineage: Bacteria; Pseudomonadati; Pseudomonadota; Gammaproteobacteria; Pseudomonadales; Pseudomonadaceae
Source: RNAcentral